Molecule: unclassified non-coding RNA, 279 nt
Filed under: plant metagenome
Description: partial contains small subunit ribosomal RNA, internal transcribed spacer 1, and 5.8S ribosomal RNA
Source: RNAcentral
UUUCCGUAGGUGAACCUGCGGAAGGAUCAUUACUGAGUGAGGGCCCCUCGGGGUCCAACCUCCCACCCGUCUUUAACGAACCUUGUUUCUUCGCCCGGCCCGCCUCACGGCCGUCGGGGGGGAUCUUCCCCCGGGCCCGCGCCCGCCGAAUCCACCCGAGAACGCAGUCUGACGUAUGCAGUCUGAUACAAUUCUUAAAUUAAUUAAAACAUUGAACAACGUAUCUCUCGCUUCCGGCAUCGAUGCAGAACGCAGCAGAACGGAACAUCAGACCUCCGA